Long non-coding RNA from Sander lucioperca (pikeperch), 257 nucleotides. RefSeq lists it as uncharacterized. The transcript has 3 exons. NCBI's taxonomy places the organism in Eukaryota, Metazoa, Chordata, Actinopteri, Perciformes, Percidae. The record is from RefSeq and is a predicted model, not a curated record.
GUAUGUCGAAAGAAUUGUAUUUAAAGCAAUGUGUCAAGACUACCUAUUUUUAAUAAGAUGAACAGGUCAUGAAACAGAUGCAGAAAGACACCAAAAUCCAGCUCAAAAAGUUUUAUUCAGAUUAACAGAUCAGAAACAUUCAGUCACCGUUACAAAUGUCACACAGGAGGCUUAUACGUAGGUGAUAAGGGCAAAGCCAUAACCUGAUAAAUACCCAUCUUUCCACCUGACAUUUAACAGUGAGACCAACAGAACAU